Molecule: microRNA precursor, 96 nt
Filed under: Marmota monax (woodchuck)
Lineage: Eukaryota; Metazoa; Chordata; Mammalia; Rodentia; Sciuridae
Source: RNAcentral
AUUGAAUUUGCUGGAUUUUAUGGUACAUUGAUCCUUUUGAGGAACUGCUAAAUUGCUUUUCAAAGUAGCCUCAUUAUUUACAUUCCCACCAGCAGU